This 229-nucleotide ribosomal RNA is filed under the name uncultured bacterium. Its description in RNAcentral is "partial 16S ribosomal RNA". It matches the Rfam family "Bacterial small subunit ribosomal RNA", at positions 568 to 796 of the family's 1533-position model. The record is from RNAcentral.
UGCGUAGGCGGAAUAUUAAGUCAGUGGUGAAAUCCUGCGGCUCAACCGUAGAACUGCCAUUGAUACUGAUAUUCUUGAAUGUAGUUGAGGUAGGCGGAAUGUGUAAUGUAGCGGUGAAAUGCUUAGAUAUUACACAGAACACCGAUUGCGAAGGCAGCUUACUAAACUAUGAUUGACGCUGGGGCACGAAAGCGUGGGGAGCGAACAGGAUUAGAUACCCUGGUAGUCC